This 1575-nucleotide ribosomal RNA is filed under the name uncultured Candidatus Saccharibacteria bacterium. RNAcentral's name for it is "16S ribosomal RNA". It matches the Rfam family "Bacterial small subunit ribosomal RNA". The record is from RNAcentral. Lineage: Bacteria; Candidatus Saccharimonadota.
AGAGUUUGAUCAUGGCUCAGGAUGAACGCUGGCGGCGUGCCUAAUACAUGCAAGUCGAGCGGUAAGGCUCCUACAGGUUAUUUGAUCGAGCUAGGUCGCAAAACUUCGAAGAAGUUUUGCAUCACAACUACGACGGAACGAUGGCUAUCGUUCCUGAAGAAUCGUGAAGCACCUGGAGCAAACCUUCUCGUCGAGAAGGUGAAGUUCAAAUAACGUGUUGGAGUACACGAGCGGCGGACGGCUGAGUAACACGUAGGAACGUACCCCAAAGUGAGGCAUAAGCACCAGAAAUGGUGUCUAAUACCGCAUGUGGCCUUCGGGCUAAAGCUCCGGCGCUUUGGGAACGGCCUGCGCAUGAUUAGCUUGUUGGUGAGGUAAUAGCUCACCAAGGCGACGAUCAUUAGCUGGUCUGAGAGGAUGAUCAGCCAGACUGGGACUGAGAACGGCCCAGACUCCUACGGGAGGCAGCAGUAGGGAAUUUUCCACAAUGGGCGAAAGCCUGAUGGAGCAACGCCGCGUGCAGGAUGAAGGCUCUCGGGUCGUAAACUGCUUUUAUAUGUGACGAAUAUGACGGUAGCAUAUGAAUAAGGAUCGGCUAACUCCGUGCCAGCAGCCGCGGUCAUACGGAGGAUCCAAGCGUUAUCCGGAAUUACUGGGCGUAAAGAGUUGCGUAGGUGGCAUUGUAAGUUGGUAGUGAAAGCGUUCGGCUCAACCGAAUAAACAUUAUCAAAACUGCAAAGCUAGAGGAUGAGAGAGGUUAUUGGAAUUCCUGAUGUAGGGGUAAAAUCCGUUGAUAUUAGGAGGAACACCGAUGGCGUAGGCAGAUAACUGGCUCAUUCCUGACACUAAGGCACGAAAGCGUGGGUAGCAAACAGGAUUAGAUACCCUGGUAGUCCACGCUGUAAACGAUGGAUGCUAGCUGUGCUCGGUAUCGACCCCGAACGUAGCGAAGCUAACGCGUUAAGCAUCCCGCCUGUGGAGUACGGUCGCAAGACUAAAACAUAAAGGAAUUGACGGGGACCCGCACAAGCGGUGGAGCGUGUUGUUUAAUUCGAUGGUAAGCGAAGAACCUUACCCAGGUUUGACAUCCUUGGAAUUUUGCCGAAAGGCGAGAGUGCUUUAUUGAGCCAAGUGACAGGUGAUGCAUGGCCGUCGUCAGCUCGUGUCGUGAGAUGUUUGGUUAAGUCCAUCAACGAGCGCAACCCUUGUGAUUAGUUGAAUUUUUCUAAUCAGACUGCCCUGGUAACAGGGAGGAAGGAGGGGAUGAUGUCAGGUCCGUAUUUCCCUUAUAUCUGGGGCUACAAACACGCUACAAUGGCCGGUACAAAGGGCAGCCAAGUCGCAAGACGGAGCAAAUCCCAUCAAAGCCGGUCCCAGUUCGGAUAGCAGGCUGAAACUCGCCUGCUUGAAGUCGGAAUCGCUAGUAACGGUAGGUCAGCUAUACUACCGUGAAUACGUUCCCGGGUCUUGUACACACCGCCCGUCAAACCGUGAAAGUCGCCAAUACCUGACGUGCUCGCUUGCCGAGCCCUAAGGUAGGGGAGAUGAUUGGGGUUAAGUCGUAACAAGGUAACC